This 253-nucleotide ribosomal RNA is filed under the name uncultured bacterium. RNAcentral's name for it is "partial 16S ribosomal RNA". It matches the Rfam family "Bacterial small subunit ribosomal RNA", at positions 524 to 776 of the family's 1533-position model. RNAcentral also lists the same sequence under 1 other name. The record is from RNAcentral.
UACGGGGGGUGCAAGCGUUGUUCGGAAUUAUUGGGCGUAAAGAGCGUGUAGGCGGCCGGAUAUGUCAGAUGUGAAAGCCCCGGGCUUAACCCGGGAAGUGCAUUUGAAACUGUCCGGCUCGAGUAGGGGAGAGGGAAGUGGAAUUCCUGGUGUAGAGGUGAAAUUCGUAGAUAUCAGGAGGAACACCGGUGGCGAAGGCGACUUCCUGGCCCUAUACUGACGCUGAGACGCGAGAGCGUGGGUAGCAAACAGG